GCUCAGUUGGUUGAGUGCCCAACUCUUGAUUUCGGGUCAGGUCAUGAUCUCACGGUUUGUGGGAUCAAGUCCCACAUUGGGCU
RNAcentral lists this transfer RNA (83 nucleotides) under Felis catus (domestic cat). It matches the Rfam family "tRNA". From Rfam's summary of the family: Transfer RNA (tRNA) molecules are approximately 80 nucleotides in length. The record is from Rfam by way of RNAcentral. Lineage: Eukaryota; Metazoa; Chordata; Mammalia; Carnivora; Felidae.